GUCUACGGCCAUGCAACCCUGAACAAGCCCGCUCCCAUCUGGUCUCAGAAACUAAGCAGGGUCGGGACUGGUUAGUACUUGGAUAGGAGACCACCCAGGAAGAUCAGGUGCUGUAGGCA
RNAcentral lists this ribosomal RNA (119 nucleotides) under Pteropus alecto (black flying fox). The record is from RNAcentral. Lineage: Eukaryota; Metazoa; Chordata; Mammalia; Chiroptera; Pteropodidae.